This 3716-nucleotide long non-coding RNA is filed under the name Zea mays. RNAcentral describes it as "long non-coding RNA (ZMAY_LNC005765)". Lineage: Eukaryota; Viridiplantae; Streptophyta; Magnoliopsida; Poales; Poaceae. The record is from RNAcentral.
CAGAAAUCCAAGAAUGUGAUCUAUGGCAAGGAAACAUAUGUGGGGUGAGGUGUACGAGCCUCUGGUCGAUGAUCAAUGGCCACAGAACCCCCAUUUUGCCGAAAAUAGCCAUGAACGACCAUUUUCAAUAAUACCGAAGGCUAACACGUACGAGUUUUUGACCAAGAAAUGGUCUCCACCAAAAAUCCAAGAAUGUGAUCUAUGGCAAGGAAACAUAUGUGGGGUGAGAUUUAUGAGCCUCUAGUCGAUGAUAAAUGGCCACACAACCCCCAUUUUUUUAUGAAAAUAGCCAUGAGCGACCAUUUUCAAUAAUAUUAGAGGCUAAGACCUACGGAUUUUUGACCAAGAAAUGGUCUCCACCAGAAAUCCAAGAAUGUGAUCUAUGGCAAGGAAACAUAUGUGGGGUGAGGUGUAUGAGCCUCUGGUCGAUGAUCAAUGGCCACACAACCCCCAUUUUUGUCGAAAAUAGCCAUGAAUGACCAUUUACAAUAAUACCGAAGGCUAACACCUACGGAUUUUUUACCAAGAAAUGGUCUCCACCAGAAAUCCAAGAAUGUGAUCUAUGGCAAGGAAACAUAUGUGGGGUGAGGUGUAUGAGCCUCUGGUCGAUGAUCAAUGGCCACACAACCCCAUUUUUGUCAAAAUAGCCAUGAACGACCAUUUUCAAUAAUAUCGAAGGCUAACACCUACGGAUUUUUGACCAAGAAAUGGUCUCCACCAGAAAUCCAAGAAUGUGAUCUACGACAAGGAAACAUAUGUGGGGUGAGGUGUAUGAGCCUCUGGUCGACGAUCAAUGGCCACACAACCCCCAUUUUGCCGAAAAUAGCCAUGAAUGACCAUUUUCAAUAAUACCGAAGGCUAACACGUACGAGUUUUUAACCAAGAAAUGGUUUCCACCAGAAAUCCAAGAAUGUAAUCUAUGGCAAGGAAACAUAUGUGGGGUGAGGUUUAUGAGCCUCUAGUCGAUGAUAAAUGGCCACACAACCCCCAUUUUUUAUGAAAAUAGCCAUGAGCGACCUUGAAAAUAGCCAUGAGCGACCAUUUUCAAUAAUAUUAGAGGCUAAGACCUACGGAUUUUUGACCAAGAAAUGGUCUCCACCAGAAAUCCAAGAAUGUGAUCUAUGGCAAGGAAACAUAUGUGGGGUGAGGUGUAUGAGCCUCUGGUCGAUGAUCAAUGGCCACACAACCCCCAUUUUUGUCGAAAAUAGCCAUGAAUGACCAUUUACAAUAAUACCGAAGGCUAACACCUACGGAUUUUUGACCAAGAAAUGGUCUCCACCAGAAAUCCAAGAAUGUGAUCUAUGGCAAGGAAACAUAUGUGGGGUGAGGUGUAUGAGCCUCUGGUCGAUAAUCAAUGGCCACACAACCCCCAUUUUUGUCGAAAAUAGCCAUGAACGACCAUUUUCAAUAAUAUCGAAGGCUAACACCUAUGGAUUUUUGACCAAGAAAUGGUCUCCACCAGAAAUCCAAGAAUGUGAUCUACGACAAGGAAACAUAUGUGGGGUGAGGUGUAUGAGCCUCUGGUCGACGAUCAAUGGCCACACAACCCCCAUUUUGCCGAAAAUAGCCAUGAAUGACCAUUUUCAAUAAUACCGAAGGCUAACACGUACGAGUUUUUAACCAAGAAAUGGUUUCCACCAGAAAUCCAAGAAUGUAAUCUAUGGCAAGGAAACAUAUGUGGGGUGAGGUUUAUGAGCCUCUAGUCGAUGAUAAAUGGCCACACAACCCCCAUUUUUUAUGAAAAUAGCCAUGAGCGACCUUGAAAAUAGCCAUGAGCGACCAUUUUCAAUAAUACUAGAGGCUAACACCUACGGAUUUUAGACCAAGAAAUGGUCUCCACCAGAAAUCCAAGAAUGUGAUCUAUGGCAAGGAAACAUAUGUGGGGUGAGGUGUAUGAGCGUCUGGUCGAUGAUCAAUGGCCACACAACCCCCAUUUUUGUCGAAAAUAGCCAUGAACGACCAUUUUCAAUAAUACCGAAGGCUAACACCUACGGAAUUUUGACCAAGAAAUGGUCUCCACCAGAAAUCCAAGAAUGUGAUCUAUGGCAAGGAAACAUAUGUGGGGUGAGGUGUAUGAGCCUCUGGUCGACGAUCAAUGGCCACACAACCCCCAUUUUUUAUGAAAAUAGCCAUGAGCGACCUUGAAAAUAGCCAUGAGCGACCAUUUUCAAUAAUACUAGAGGCUAACACCUACGGAUUUUAGACCAAGAAAUGGUCUCCACCAGAAAUCCAAGAAUGUGAUCUAUGGCAAGGAAACAUAUGUGGGGUGAGGUGUAUGAGCGUCUGGUCGAUGAUCAAUGGCCACACAACCCCCAUUUUUGUCGAAAAUAGCCAUGAACGACCAUUUUCAAUAAUACCGAAGGCUAACACCUACGGAUUUUUGACCAAGAAAUGGUCUCCACCAGAAAUCCAAGAAUGUGAUCUAUGGCAAGGAAACAUAUGUGGGGUGAGGUGUAUGAGCCUCUGGUCGAUGAUCAAUGGCCACACAACCCCCAUUUUUGUCGAAAAUAGCCAUGAACGACCAUUUUCAAUAAUAUCGAAGGCUAACACCUACGGAUUUUUGACCAAGAAAUGGUCUCCACCAGAAAUCCAAGAAUGUGAUCUACGACAAGGAAACAUAUGUGGGGUGAGGUGUAUGAGCCUCUGGUCGACGAUCAAUGGCCACACAACCCCCAUUUUGCCGAAAAUAGCCAUGAAUGACCAUUUUCAAUAAUAUCGAAGGCUAACACCUACGGAUUUUUGACCAAGAAAUGGUCUCCACCAGAAAUCCAAGAAUGUGAUCUACGACAAGGAAACAUAUGUGGGGUGAGGUGUAUGAGCCUCUGGUCGAUGAUCAAUGGCCACACAACCCCCAUUUUGCCGAAAAUAGCCAUGAAUGACCAUUUUCAAUAAUACCGAAGGCUAACACGUACGAGUUUUUAACCAAGAAAUGGUUUCCACCAGAAAUCCAAGAAUGUAAUCUAUGGCAAGGAAACAUAUGUGGGGUGAGGUUUAUGAGCCUCUAGUCGAUGAUAAAUGGCCACACAACCCCCAUUUUUUAUGAAAAUAGCCAUGAGCGACCUUGAAAAUAGCCAUGAGCGACCAUUUUCAAUAAUACUAGAGGCUAACACCUACGGAUUUUAGACCAAGAAAUGGUCUCCACCAGAAAUCCAAGAAUGUGAUCUAUGGCAAGGAAACAUAUGUGGGGUGAGGUGUAUGAGCGUCUGGUCGAUGAUCAAUGGCCACACAACCCCCAUUUUUGUCGAAAAUAGCCAUGAACGACCAUUUUCAAUAAUACCGAAGGCUAACACCUACGGAUUUUUGACCAAGAAAUGGUCUCCACCAGAAAUCCAAGAAUGUGAUCUAUGGCAAGGAAACAUAUGUGGGGUGAGGUGUAUGAGCCUCUGGUCGAUGAUCAAUGGCCACACAACCUCCAUUUUUGUCGAAAAUAGCCAUGAACGACCAUUUUCAAUAAUAUCGAAGGCUAACACCUACUGAUUUUUGACCAAGAAAUGGUCUCCACCAGAAAUCCAAGAAUGUGAUCUACGACAAGGAAACAUAUGUGGGGUGAGGUGUAUGAGCCUCUGGUCGACGAUCAAUGGCCACACAACCCCCAUUUUGCCGAAAAUAGCCAUGAAUGACCAUUUUCAAUAAUAUCGAAGGCUAACACCUACGGAUUUUUGACCAAGAAAUGGUCUCCACCAGAAAUCCAAGAAUGUGAUCUACGACAAGGAAAC